RNAcentral lists this ribosomal RNA (168 nucleotides) under uncultured bacterium. RNAcentral describes it as "partial 16S ribosomal RNA". It matches the Rfam family "Bacterial small subunit ribosomal RNA", at positions 338 to 498 of the family's 1533-position model. The record is from RNAcentral.
CCUACGGGAGGCAGCAGUGGGGAAUAUUGGACAAUGGGCGCAAGCCUGAUCCAGCCAUGCCGCGUGUGUGAAGAAGGUCUUCGGAUUGUAAAGCACUUUAAGUUGGGAGGAAGGGCAGUAAGCGAAUACCUUGCUGUUUUGACGUUACCGACAGAAUAAGCACCGGCU